GACGAACGCUGGCGGCGUGCCUAAUACAUGCAAGUCGAGCGGACGGAUGGGAGCUUGCUCCCAGACCGUCAGCGGCGGACGGGUGAGUAACACGUGGGCAACCUGCCUGUAAGACUGGGAUAACUCCGGGAAACCGGGGCUAAUACCGGAUAACUCUUUCCCUCACAUGAGGGAAAGCUGAAAGAUGGCAUCUCGCUAUCACUUACAGAUGGGCCCGCGGCGCAUUAGCUAGUUGGUGAGGUAACGGCUCACCAAGGCGACGAUGCGUAGCCGACCUGAGAGGGUGAUCGGCCACACUGGGACUGAGACACGGCCCAGACUCCCACGGGAGGCAGCAGUAGGGAAUCUUCCGCAAAGGACGAAAGUCUGACGGAGCAACGCCGCGUGAGUGAUGAAGGUCUUCGGAUCGUAAAACUCUGUUGUCAGGGAAGAACAAGUACCGGAGUAACUGCCGGUACCUUGACGGUACCUGACCAGAAAGCCACGGCUAACUACGUG
Molecule: ribosomal RNA, 498 nt
Filed under: uncultured bacterium
Lineage: Bacteria
Description: partial 16S ribosomal RNA
Rfam family: Bacterial small subunit ribosomal RNA
Source: RNAcentral